UAACCAGUGUGGGCCAGUGAACCCAAGGAGUUCAUCCAGAGAGGUACUUGAAGCUGGGUGCCGUGAUGCAAGUGUAAUCCAGUGACUCAGGAGGCUGAGGCAGGAGGAUUGCAAGUUUGAGGCCAGCCUCAGCAACUUAGGCCCAGUUUCAAGAUAAAAAGAGCUGAGGAUGUAGCGCAGUGGUAGAGUUCAUCUGUGUUAGAUCCCCAGUGCCCCCCACACACAGAGAGAGAGAGAGAGUUGUACCUGAGUUAAGACCAUCUAUCAAUGGACCAUUAUGGGGCUCCACUUUAACUAAAGGACAAUCAUGGUGUUUGGGGUUUGAAGAACUGUCAAUUUACACACAGUGUUCAGGAAACCCCAGAAGGGCUGGGCAUAUCCUUUUCCCCAGCGUAGUCACCCUAAUAACUAGCUGCAAGUCCCUCUGGGAAGGCGUGGAAGAAGACUGAGAUUGUGUGUGUGCGCUGGGGAUGGAACUCGGGCCUGGCACAGGUGGGGCAGGCAAUCUGCCCUGAGCUGCACCCAGUCCAGUGGUGCCUGCUUUUGACAAUGAUGCCAGGUCCUUUCUCAGGAAAACCUGGUCUCGUCUUCAGGCAAAGUGUCUGCAAGGCUGUGAGCUGACCUGUCUGUAAACUGAGGGGCUGUGACUCUCUCCUGGCAAAUGACGUCAUGUCUUUGGCACUAGAACUAGAGCUUAUCUUAAUAGUCCACACACUGCUCAUUUAUUUAUUUUACCACUGACUUUGGCCUUACCUUUCCAAAUGAACACUAUUUUUGUUUGUUCUAGUUAGUUAUACAUAGCAGUAGAAUGCACUUUGACACAUCAUACAUAGAUGGAGUAUAACUUAUCAUUUUUCCGGUUGUACAUGAUGUAGAAUGACACCAGUCAUGUAGUCAUAUAUGCACAUGGGAUAAUAAUACACUAUUUUAAAAAAAUUUUUGGAGUUGUAGAGGGACAGAAUGCCUUUGUUUAUUUUUAUUUUUAUGUGGUGCUAAGGAUUGAACCCAGUGCCUUGUGUGGGCUAGGCAAGCAGUCUGCUACAGAGGUACAGCCCCACUAUUUUUUUUUCACUUUUUAAAAUAUGUUCUUUUUAGUUAUGCAUGACAAUAGAUUGUAUUUUAACAUAUUAUACAUACGUGGAGAAUAACUUCC
Molecule: long non-coding RNA, 1153 nt
Filed under: Marmota monax (woodchuck)
Lineage: Eukaryota; Metazoa; Chordata; Mammalia; Rodentia; Sciuridae
Source: RNAcentral